AUGGCAAGUCUCAUCCAUUGGGAUUUUGCCCCUGGGCUCAAGGUGGAGCAGAAGUUACGUGCCAAGUUCAGAUCCACGGUGCGCUUUGAUAGUUCUUUGGGAACCAAGGAAUUUUUCUUGGUUGUCUCUUUCUCGUUGGCCUCCUUCCCUCUAUCCGAAGAGGCGGUAGGAGUGGUUUUGCAAUGUUGCAUUGGUGGUUUGGCCACGGGUUUCAACGUCAAACAAUUGGGAGAUCGUAAUUUUCGAUUUUCGAUGGCUUCCAAUUGUGUUGGUCACUUCAUCUACGGUUUGAAGGAUUGUGUGUGGCCAAAUUUUGUUUGUCAUUUCCGCUUGUUCAAAGUUUCGGUGGACUCUGCUUGGAAGGGAUCGGAUUAA
RNAcentral lists this ribosomal RNA (375 nucleotides) under Triticum aestivum (bread wheat). RNAcentral's name for it is "partial small subunit ribosomal RNA". Lineage: Eukaryota; Viridiplantae; Streptophyta; Magnoliopsida; Poales; Poaceae. The record is from RNAcentral.